GGUGUAUAGUUAAUAGCAUUACACUGUGACGUUAGCUACAGAAGAAGCACCGGCAAACUCCGUGCCAGCAGCCGCGGUAAUACGGAGGGUGCGAGCGUUAAUCGGAAUUACUGGGCGUAAAGCGCGCGUAGGCGGUUAUUUAAGUGAGGUGUGAAAUCCCUGGGCUCAACCUAGGAACUGCAUUUCAAACUGGAUAACUUGAGUAUGUCAGAGGGUAUUGGAAUUUCCCCGUGUAGCAGUGAAAAUGCGUAGAUAUGGGAAGGAACAUCAGUGGCGAAGGCGAAUACCUGGGAUAAUACUGACGCUGAGGUGCGAAAGCGUGGGGAGCAAACGGGAUUAGAUACCCUGGUAG
Molecule: ribosomal RNA, 352 nt
Filed under: uncultured bacterium
Lineage: Bacteria
Description: bacterial SSU rRNA
Rfam family: Bacterial small subunit ribosomal RNA
Source: RNAcentral